AGCAGCCGCGGUAAUUCCAGCUCCAAUAGCGUAUAUUAAAGUUGUUGCAGUUAAAAGCUCGUAGUUGAAUUUCGGGGUUAGUAGGUUGGUCAUGCCUCUGGUAUGUACUGGUCUCACUGAUUCCUCCUUCCUGAUGAACUUUAAUGCCAUUAAUUUGGUGUUUUGGGGAAUUUGGACUGUUACUUUGAAAAAAUUAGAGUGUUUAAAGCAAGCUAACGCUUGAAUACAUUAGCAUGGAAUAAUGAAAUAGGACGUUCGAUCCUAUUUUGUUGGUUUCUAGGAUUGACGUAAUGAUUAAUAGGGAUAGUUGGGGGCAUUAGUAUUCAAUUGUCAGAGGUGAAAUUCUUGGAUUUAUUGAAGACUAACUACUGCGAAAGCAUUUGCCAAGGAUGUUUUCAUUAAUCAAGAACGAAAGUUAGGGGAUCGAAGACGAUCAGAUACCGUCGUAGUCUUAACCAUAAACUAUGCCGACUAGGGAUCGGAUGAUGUUAAUUUUUUUAAUGACUCAUUCGGCGCCUUA
RNAcentral lists this ribosomal RNA (520 nucleotides) under uncultured Glomus. RNAcentral describes it as "SSU rRNA". It matches the Rfam family "Eukaryotic small subunit ribosomal RNA", at positions 569 to 1090 of the family's 1831-position model. The record is from RNAcentral. Lineage: Eukaryota; Fungi; Glomeromycota; Glomeromycetes; Glomerales; Glomeraceae.